CACGUAGGGGACGAGCGUUGUCCGGAUUCAUUGGGCGUAAAGCGCGCGUAGGCGGCUCGGAAAGUCGGUCGUGAAAUGCCGGGGCUCAACCCCGGGACUGCGUCCGAUACUCCCGAGCUGGAGGCAGGUAGGGGAGAUCGGAAUUCCUGGUGUAGCGGUGAAAUGCGCAGAUAUCAGGAGGAACACCGGUGGCGAAGGCGGAUCUCUGGGCCUUGCCUGACGCUGAGGCACGAAGGCCAGGGGAGCAAACGGG
RNAcentral lists this ribosomal RNA (253 nucleotides) under uncultured bacterium. RNAcentral describes it as "partial 16S ribosomal RNA". It matches the Rfam family "Bacterial small subunit ribosomal RNA", at positions 524 to 776 of the family's 1533-position model. The record is from RNAcentral.